ACUCUGCUAAGCGUAUGUAAAGAUUUAGGCGUGGUCUGAGUGAUUAGUGCGUAUCACUUUGAGCAUGUUAUUAUGAUAGUUUUACUAAUAAACAUAUACUGGUUCCAAUCUCAGCGUUGGCAAAAUUAUUAAAAAUUAUGAGGAAAAUAUUGAAGGCUUCUUAAGACUCUCAAUAAAGGAUAGGAAUUAAAAGUGCUAAAAAAAUUUAGCGGUGAACCUGACAAUGAAUCUGGGAGAUCGUGUACCUGAUAGUAACAAACCUAUUGUCGGUAGUGCUCACGAAGUGGUAAUCAUCAAAUCUGGAAGCGGUAAACACCAACAAAUCGCUUCGCCUAUGCUUCUUCGGGCAAAUCUCACCUGGUUGCGUAAAGGCCACGGAGGCAUUGGGCUGACUCCCGUGGAUCAUACUUAUUUAGCGGUGGCCAGGAAAAAUAUACAUGCAGGCUGAAAAAGAAUGAUUUAAGCAGCAGUAGAUCCACCCCAGCUAUUCCGCGGUAUUGAAAGCGAAGCAAAGGCCAACUGUACAUUCAUCAACGUUAACAGGGAGACAUGUAAAGCAUAAUAAUAACUAGUCUAAUUGGAUUACCGCCGUGCAUUUUACAGUGUAUAAAGAGACUCUUUCUUAAACGCCGUGGAGGUCCGCAUACCGUAUACCAGAGCCUUUGGUACAUAAGAUGUAGCACUAUGAUUCAAAUUUACUGUUAAAAAGAAAACAACUAUCUUCGCCGCGCAGGUCACAAUGACACCUUUGUAGACCCGCGGCAGUCUGCGCGGGAUCGCAGAAUUUCGUUGAACAACGAAAUUCACAAGUUCAGUUUUGCUGUCUAGGCGUUGGUAGAUGACCUACUUGCAGCUAUCAGGGAGCUUGAGAAUGCUUUGUAACACCGAGAGCAUUCUGGUCCGUUCUUAACGAUUCCGAACGCUCAUUAUCUAUUAUAUCGAAGUCUCGAAUAAAAUUGCACGCUGAAUACUUUUUUUUUAUUUUAAUAACAUUUGUUCUGUGUAGUAGGCAUCGUUGGUCGCAACCACCUGACCCUGAGUUUUGCGGGAGUAGCUGCCCGAGAGAAUAUAAGAUCCAUGAGUUCCUUCUAAAUGUCGCACUCAGUUGAAAAGAAAGCCGGCUGAAGUUCUAAUAUGAAUUCUCCAAGUACGCGCAAUCGUUGUCAUUCUCGGGCCGAAUUGUCAUCUCAGUCGUACUGAAAUCCUCUAUGAAACACGGCCGGGCCUAGAGAAGAAACAGAAAGCUAACGAAGUUGCCAACGAAAUUGUCGAAUUUCAUUGCUGAACAACACAUCGGGGAGACGGCGGCGCUGAUACACUUUUAAACACGUCUACCUGUGCUAACCUGAUAAAGCCCAUGGAUCGCUCGUCACGCCUCUGAUCCUCGCUAGCAAACAUCUACGUCUCCAACAUCCAAAUCUUUGGGGCCCAGAGCUACCCAUGAAAAAGGCAAAGGGACGAAUUGAAGCCACACCGUUACCGCCCAUUUUGUUCCAACGAGGGUGGUCCAACGAAGUUUUUGGAGCCGACUCGAACAGCAUGGGGCAAAAGGGAACGACAAAAGGGAGAAGACUUUUCGACCCAUCAAUCCUUACCUUCAAGGGGGCAACAGCCAAGGGCAGAUUUUCGGGGUUCAGGCGGUUGGUCGUUCUUGACAGUCACAGGCAAUUGCCAACUGAGCAUCGUGUGCUAGUUCGGUAAUUCGUUCAAAAUCGACAUCGCUUUGCUUCGUGGAACUGACAAUAUGUUCCUCACCAUUUCGUGCCAUAUCAGGGAGUUCACAUGGUUUUGCAGUGUAUUUUGGAGGAGUCGAUUUGUAUUGUAUUAUUAUAUGGAGACGUAGAGUUUCCGGCUCUGUUAGUUAAAAGAAGAACGAAAAACAUCAAUGAAAGAGACGGUGAAGGAAAUAGUCAAUUACCAUCUAAGGGUAAGCCGGGCACUUAGUAAUCGAUAGUGUUUGGUCAACAGCACGAUCUAUAAGAAGAUUAGAGCAAAGCUAAAUAAUAAAUUAUUUAUGGGUCUUUUGGGUCUAUCACGGAUUAAAUCUAGUCCGAGGUCAAGAUAUAUAAUCUCGAAAUACUCGCUUUCGUUGACGUUAUAUCGUCGGUAUUGUCAGUCAUAUUUGACUCCGUAGACUUGUCAAGUCAGAAAACUGCACUCUCUGAGCCCAUUUAACAUUAGUAAUCAUAGAAUCAUACGCGAGAGUCUUACAGAAAUUGAUUUAAGAAAGUUAUAUUUCUUUAAAAAAUUCACUGAAGCGAGAUGAGUUCAUAAAGUCAAAAGGUUUUGGCUUUUUUUUGGAUUUAACAUAUCAAUUUUGAAUGGUCUCUCGAAAUUUCUGGAGUUUGUUUUGUUAACCUUUAGCUCCAACAAAAAAAUUGAGAAGUUUAAGCUAACAAACAUUUUUAUUCAAACCUUUAAAGCCUGAACUCGAUUCCUUUCACAGCAGACCGCAAUCACGGAAGGCUUGUAAAAGGGACGAGACGUACCUAAUACUUUAACCUACCUAGUACCCUUUAAUAACUCCACCUGAUACUCAAUUAGAAACCGAUGGCUCAGACGACAUGAAAGCCACUAAACAAACGACAAAAAUCUCACUAAUUUAUUAUUAUAGCACGAAUCCAUUGGAUUAUAUACAUAGACAUCUCUUAACUUGUAGCAGCCAACAUUCUUGACCCCAAUAAAUAAACUAUAAAUGCUCGUCGACGUAUAGCUCAAACAUGCUGGCACGUUAGAAGUCACUUAGAGAGGCUCGACUGAAUAUCAUGUAAAGACGUUUUAAAGCUUCUUUCAGUUUAAAAAAAAAAUUGGUUUAUUUCGGCGCUGCGACUUGGCGGAGCUUAAGGUUCCACAGCAAGCAGUGAACAUAAUUUUAGCAUAUGAUUUUAAUUACGCCAGGUACGAGGUCAAUCAUCUCUGGAUCUCAUUAGCUGCUGCCGCUGUUAUUCUCCCAUACGCCGCUGGCGAAGAUCAUGCUAUCGCCGUCUGGUCCGUGCCUAUUCAGCGCGUGAUAACAAUAAUGAUCCGGUUGAAGCAUUAUCCCACUAGCAUACAUUAUUCCUUUUGCGUAAGCGUUACAGCAUAACCAGUAUCAGCAUAUAGCGUGUUUUAUGUGCAUUGGCAGGUUCUUUGUGACUUUCAUACGUACUUUGAUACAAUACUUACAUAUAUAAAUUAGGCAUAAGUUUCAUAUCACCAACUGCUAAGGACUACAUAUAAGUAGGUCGAUGAAAAACAAUUGCGUUUAGAGGCAAAUUCAGAAGUAUAAAUUUGAACUUACAGUUCACUGCAGCUAUCAUUAGUCCAGCUUUUCCCCGGUGGUAGAAAAAUUUCAUGCACAAGCCUUCACACAUACACCGUAAGCUCGAGAAGGGCUUACCUAAUCAGUACAACUAUUUAGUAACGGUUGGAUAUGUUUAUAACGUUGUAAAAAAGCUUGCGUUUCCAACAGCUUAAAAUGUAGAUGGUAAACUUGUUCUAGACAAAAUCCACUAUCUUUAGAUGGGACCGCAUAUGUUACUUUGUGAAAAGAUGGGAGAAAAUCAUAAACAAAACGUAGCUGAUAAUGUCAUAAGAAUAAAAGAUGUAGUGCUCCUCCUGCUUUCUGCAGUUGAAAAAAGUGUAGAAACUUUUUUCUUUGACAUAAUAUUGUUGCUCCAACUAGGAACGAUAGAUUACCGUUAUUUUUGCAAGGAAAUCUUGCAUUGCCUUAUCCGCUUGCUAAGUGGUUUGACGAAAAGCUUUAAAGUAAUAAUUAAAAGCAGGCUUCGAUAGCGCUUAAAUGAGAACGGUGUCCUAUAGGUCAAUCAAAAUGGAUACGCGGAUCUAUUAAUGAAAACGCAAGUCUAUUCAGACAGAAGCUACAAAAAUAAUAAAUAGGGAGAGACUAUAGAGAACGCCAAGGGUCGCUCAAAAAAGCUAUUUUUAGUCAUCUUUUUAGACGUGAUAAAUGCGUUUAAUAGCUUUCCGUGAAAAUCGAUAUUGAGCAAACUAAAUCAGCAUCUAUCUCACAAUAUCUUUCCAUUUCUAGGUGAUGAUAGGCGCCCGACAGAAAUUGAUCCUUAGUCUUUCGUUGUAGAAUUUGGCGUAUGACGGAGUAAUGCAACUGGAGAAUCUCCCGAUCGCCGUAAAGCUCAUCGCAUACGCAGAUGGCCUAAUAGUCACUUUAAGCGUAAAACACCGUAAAGCGUAGAACCUAAAAACUCGUACGAGCGGCACUCCAAUUGACACAAGCUUGCUUUCUGGAUGAAUAAAAAUG
RNAcentral lists this long non-coding RNA (4258 nucleotides) under Varroa destructor (honeybee mite). RNAcentral's name for it is "uncharacterized LOC111247722, transcript variant X2". The record is from RNAcentral. Lineage: Eukaryota; Metazoa; Arthropoda; Arachnida; Mesostigmata; Varroidae.